GACGAACGCUGGCGGCGCGCCUAACACAUGCAAGUCGAACGAGCGAGAGAGAGCUUGCUUUCUCGAGCGAGUGGCGAACGGGUGAGUAACGCGUGAGGAACCUGCCUCAAAGAGGGGGACAACAGUUGGAAACGACUGCUAAUACCGCAUAAGCCCACGACCCGGCAUCGGGUGGAGGGAAAAGGAGCAAUCCGCUUUGAGAUGGCCUCGCGUCCGAUUAGCUAGUUGGUGAGGUAACGGCCCACCAAGGCGACGAGCGGUAGCCGGACUGAGAGGUUGAACGGCCAGAAUGGGACUGAGACACGGCCCAGACUGCGACGGGAGGCAGCAGUGGGGAAUAUUGCACAAUGGGGGAAACCCUGAUGCAGCGACGCCGCGUGGAGGAAGAAGGUCUUCGGAUUGUAAACUCCUGUGGUAGAGGAAGAUAAUGACGGUACUCAACAAGGAAGAGACGGCUAACUACGUG
This 466-nucleotide ribosomal RNA is filed under the name uncultured bacterium. Its description in RNAcentral is "partial 16S ribosomal RNA". It matches the Rfam family "Bacterial small subunit ribosomal RNA", at positions 28 to 507 of the family's 1533-position model. The record is from RNAcentral.